GCUCUUCGCUUCCCUCGGGGUCUUGCUCGGACCUCGGCCACCGCCUGGGAUCCCCAGGACUCGUGCGUGCAGCAUGGGCGGCGUCGGGGAGCCGGGACCGCGGGAGGGACCCGCGCAGCCCGGGGCGCCGCUGCCCACCUUCUGCUGGGAGCAGAUCCGCGCGCACGACCAGCCCGGCGACAAGUGGCUGGUCAUCGAGCGCCGCGUCUACGACAUCAGCCGCUGGGCACAGCGGCACCCGGGGGGCAGCCGCCUCAUCGGCCACCACGGCGCUGAGGACGCCACGGAUGCCUUCCGUGCCUUCCAUCAAGAUCUCAAUUUUGUGCGCAAGUUCCUACAGCCCCUGUUGAUUGGAGAGCUGGCUCCGGAAGAACCCAGCCAGGAUGGACCCCUGAAUGCGCAGCUGGUCGAGGACUUCCGAGCCCUGUACCAGGCAGCCGAGGACAUGAAGCUGUUUGAUGCCAGUCCCACCUUCUUUGCUUUCCUACUGGGCCACAUCCUGGCCAUGGAGGUGCUGGCCUGGCUCCUCAUCUACCUCCUGGGUCCUGGCUGGGUGCCCAGUGCCCUGGCUGCCUUCAUCCUGGCCAUCUCUCAGGCUCAGUCCUGGUGUCUGCAGCAUGACCUGGGCCAUGCCUCCAUCUUCAAGAAGUCCCGGUGGAACCACGUGGCCCAGAAGUUCGUGAUGGGGCAGCUAAAGGGCUUCUCCGCCCACUGGUGGAACUUCCGCCACUUCCAGCACCACGCCAAGCCCAACAUCUUCCACAAAGACCCAGACGUGACGGUGGCGCCCGUCUUCCUCCUGGGGGAGUCAUCCGUCGAGUAUGGCAAGAAGAAACGCAGAUACCUACCCUACAACCAGCAGCACCUGUACUUCUUCCUGAGUGAGUGUCCAUCUGCCCUUCUGGGGUGGGGGAGCGCCUGGGCCUGCACUGUCCUCCCUGCUGUCCUGGACCACUCCCAGGCACUUCCUGGGGCAGGGGCACGCCUGUCAAAUCUCCCUUAUCAUGGCACCCUCCCAGCCUCUGCAGUCUGUACACACUCUCCCAGCACCAUGCCUUUGCCCCAGCUGUCUCCUGUGCCUGGGACACCUUGCAGCCAUGGGCCAUCACAGCCCUGCUGGGAGCUUCCCCAAGCCCCAUGUAGAAUUUCUUCUUGCCCUCACUAGAGUGGUCUGGAGCCCUAGAGUCUUUGGGCAGUUGUUGGGGUGGACAGAGCGAGGACUCAAGGCUGGCCCUGACCUGCGGUGAAGGGUGGUGGGAGGUGGUGGGGUAAGGGCAGCCUGAGGAGGCUUGGACACAGGGUCGGGGGUGAUAUGGGGUCAUUCCAGCUGGAUGUGACCAGCACCAACGUCCCAGGGGCAUUCCUGGAGUAACAGAGCCCCUCACUCUGCUGCCCACCCACCUUGGCAGCCCAGCCCCACUCCUGAGUGCUCUCGUGCCCCUUCUUGCAGUCGG
This 1454-nucleotide small RNA is filed under the name Pongo abelii (Sumatran orangutan). Its description in RNAcentral is "retained intron". Lineage: Eukaryota; Metazoa; Chordata; Mammalia; Primates; Hominidae. The record is from RNAcentral.